UCUACCUACGGGAGGCAGCAGUGAGGAAUAUUGGUCAAUGGGCGGAAGCCUGAACCAGCCAAGUCGCGUGAGGGAAUAAGGCCCUACGGGUCGUAAACCUCUUUUGCCGGGGAGCAAGGGCGGGGACGUGUCCCGGCCCGGAGAGUACCCGGAGAAAAAGCAUCGGCUAACUCCGUGCCAGCAGCCGCGGUAAUACGGAGGAUGCGAGCGUUAUCCGGAUUUAUUGGGUUUAAAGGGUGCGUAGGCGGACUGUCAAGUCAGCGGUAAAAUACGGGGGCUCAACCUCCGCCCGCCGUUGAAACUGA
Molecule: ribosomal RNA, 305 nt
Filed under: uncultured bacterium
Lineage: Bacteria
Description: bacterial SSU rRNA
Rfam family: Bacterial small subunit ribosomal RNA
Source: RNAcentral